Molecule: ribosomal RNA, 301 nt
Filed under: uncultured bacterium
Lineage: Bacteria
Description: partial 16S ribosomal RNA
Rfam family: Bacterial small subunit ribosomal RNA
Source: RNAcentral
CAGCAGCCACGGUAAUACGAAGGGGGCUAGCGUUGCUCGGAAUUACUGGGCGUAAAGGGAGCGUAGGCGGAUCGUUUAGUCGGGGGUGAAAUCCCGGGGCUCAACCUCGGAACUGCCUUUGAUACUGGCGAUCUUGAGUACGGGAGAGGUGUGUGGAACUCCGAGUGUAGAGGUGAAAUUCGUAGAUAUUCGGAAGAACACCAGUGGCGAAGGCGACACACUGGCCCAUUACUGACGCUGAGGCUCGAAAGCGUGGGGAGCAAACAGGAUUAGAGACCCGAGUAGUCCCUGUCUCUUAUAC